This 253-nucleotide ribosomal RNA is filed under the name uncultured bacterium. RNAcentral's name for it is "partial 16S ribosomal RNA". It matches the Rfam family "Bacterial small subunit ribosomal RNA", at positions 524 to 776 of the family's 1533-position model. The record is from RNAcentral.
UAUGGGGGGGGCAAGCGUUGUUCGGAAUUACUGGGCGUAAAGGGCUCGUAGGCGGCCAACUAAGUCGGACGUGAAAUCCCCAGGCUCAACCUGGGAACUGCGUCCGAUACUGGAUGGCUUGAAUUCGGGAGAGGGAUGCAGAAUUCCAGGUGUAGCGGUGAAAUGCGUAGAUAUCUGGAGGAAUACCGGUGGCGAAGGCGGCAUCCUGGACCGACAUUGACGCUGAUGAGCGAAAGCUAGGGGAGCAAACGGG